This 279-nucleotide ribosomal RNA is filed under the name uncultured bacterium. RNAcentral describes it as "partial 16S ribosomal RNA". It matches the Rfam family "Bacterial small subunit ribosomal RNA", at positions 506 to 784 of the family's 1533-position model. The record is from RNAcentral.
UGCCAGCCGCCGCGGUAAUACGGAGGGGGCUAACGUUGUUCGGAAUUACUGGGCGUAAAGCGCGCGUAGGCGGAUUAGACAGUUGAGGGUGAAAUCCCGGAGCUUAACUUCGGAACUGCCCCCAAUACUACUAAUCUAGAGUUCGGAAGAGGUGAGUGGAAUUCCUAGUGUAGAGGUGAAAUUCGUAGAUAUUAGGAAGAACACCAGAGGCGAAGGCGGCUCACUGGUCCGAUACUGACGCUAAGGUGCGAAAGCGUGGGGAGCAAACAGGAUUAGAUA